Molecule: ribosomal RNA, 743 nt
Filed under: Bacillus pumilus
Lineage: Bacteria; Bacillati; Bacillota; Bacilli; Caryophanales; Bacillaceae
Description: bacterial SSU rRNA
Rfam family: Bacterial small subunit ribosomal RNA
Source: RNAcentral
AGGGAGCUUGCUCCCGGAUGUUAGCGGCGGACGGGUGAGUAACACGUGGGUAACCUGCCUGUAAGACUGGGAUAACUCCGGGAAACCGGAGCUAAUACCGGAUAGUUCCUUGAACCGCAUGGUUCAAGGAUGAAAGACGGUUUCGGCUGUCACUUACAGAUGGACCCGCGGCGCAUUAGCUAGUUGGUGGGGUAAUGGCUCACCAAGGCGACGAUGCGUAGCCGACCUGAGAGGGUGAUCGGCCACACUGGGACUGAGACACGGCCCAGACUCCUACGGGAGGCAGCAGUAGGGAAUCUUCCGCAAUGGACGAAAGUCUGACGGAGCAACGCCGCGUGAGUGAUGAAGGUUUUCGGAUCGUAAAGCUCUGUUGUUAGGGAAGAACAAGUGCGAGAGUAACUGCUCGCACCUUGACGGUACCUAACCAGAAAGCCACGGCUAACUACGUGCCAGCAGCCGCGGUAAUACGUAGGUGGCAAGCGUUGUCCGGAAUUAUUGGGCGUAAAGGGCUCGCAGGCGGUUUCUUAAGUCUGAUGUGAAAGCCCCCGGCUCAACCGGGGAGGGUCAUUGGAAACUGGGAAACUUGAGUGCAGAAGAGGAGAGUGGAAUUCCACGUGUAGCGGUGAAAUGCGUAGAGAUGUGGAGGAACACCAGUGGCGAAAGGCGACUCUCUGGUCUGUAACUGACGCUGAGGAGCGAAAGCGUGGGGAGCGAACAGGAUUAGAUACCCUGGUAGCCACGCC